Molecule: ribosomal RNA, 491 nt
Filed under: Lepidopus caudatus (silver scabbardfish)
Lineage: Eukaryota; Metazoa; Chordata; Actinopteri; Scombriformes; Trichiuridae
Description: partial 12S ribosomal RNA
Rfam family: Bacterial small subunit ribosomal RNA
Source: RNAcentral
UGCUUAGCCGUAACAUAGAUAGAAUUAUACAACCCCUAUCCGCCCGGACACUACGAGCAUAAGCUUAAAAUCCAAAGGACUUGGCGGUUCGUUAGAUCCCUCUAGAGGAGCCUGUUCUGUAACCGAUAAUCCCCGUUCAACCUCACCCUCCCUUGCUUAUUCAGCCUAUAUACCGCCGUCGCCAGUUUACCCUGUGAAGGACCAAUAGUAAUCAAAAUUGGCAUCGCCCAAAACGUCAGGUCGAGGUGUAGCAUAUGGGAGGGGAAGAAAUGGGCUACAUUCGCUAAUAUAGCGUACACGAAUGAUACAUUGAAACAUGUAUACUGAAGGAGGAUUUAGCAGUAAGUCGCAAAUAGAGUGUGCCACUGAAGCGGGCUCUGAAGAGCGUACACACCGCCCGUCACUCUCCCCGAACAACCUAAAAACCCUGUAAAUAAAUUACCACACCUGUAAUAGGGGAGGCAAGUCGUAACAUGGUAAGUGUACUGGAA